UUUUGGACAAUGGGCGCAAGCCUGAUCCAGCAAUGCCGCGUGAGUGAAGAAGGCCUUCGGGUUGUAAAGCUCUUUUGUCAGGGAAGAAACGGUGAGCUCUAAUACAGUUUGCUAAUGACGGUACCUGAAGAAUAAGCACCGGCUAACUACGUGCCAGCAGCCGCGGUAAUACGUAGGGUGCAAGCGUUAAUCGGAAUUACUGGGCGUAAAGCGUGCGCAGGCGGUUAUGUAAGUCAGAUGUGAAAUCCCCGGGCUCAACCUGGGAAUGGCAUUUGAGACUGCAUGGCUAGAGUGUGUCAGAGGGGGGUAGAAUUCCACGUGUAGCAGUGAAAUGCGUAGAGAUGUGGAGGAAUACCGAUGGCGAAGGCAGCCCCCUGGGAUAACACUGACGCUCAGCACGCA
RNAcentral lists this ribosomal RNA (402 nucleotides) under uncultured bacterium. Its description in RNAcentral is "bacterial SSU rRNA". It matches the Rfam family "Bacterial small subunit ribosomal RNA", at positions 362 to 757 of the family's 1533-position model. The record is from RNAcentral.